This 468-nucleotide ribosomal RNA is filed under the name uncultured bacterium. RNAcentral's name for it is "partial 16S ribosomal RNA". It matches the Rfam family "Bacterial small subunit ribosomal RNA", at positions 28 to 507 of the family's 1533-position model. The record is from RNAcentral.
GACGAACGCUGGCGGCGUGCUUAACACAUGCAAGUCGAACGGAAAGGCCCUGCUUUUGUGGGGUGCUCGAGUGGCGAACGGGUGAGUAACACGUGAGUAACCUGCCCUUGACUUUGGGAUAACUUCAGGAAACUGGGGCUAAUACCGGAUAGGAGCUCCUGCUGCAUGGUGGGGGUUGGAAAGUUUCGGCGGUUGGGGAUGGACUCGCGGCUUAUCAGCUUGUUGGUGGGGUAGUGGCUUACCAAGGCUUUGACGGGUAGCCGGCCUGAGAGGGUGACCGGCCACAUUGGGACUGAGAUACGGCCCAGACUCCUACGGGAGGCAGCAGUGGGGAAUAUUGCACAAUGGGCGGUGGCCUGAUGCAGCAACGCCGCGUGCGGGAUGACGGCCUUCGGGUUGUAAACCGCUUUCGCCUGUGACGAAGCGUGAGUGACGGUAAUGGGUAAAGAAGCACCGGCUAACUACGUG